This 119-nucleotide ribosomal RNA is filed under the name Pteropus alecto (black flying fox). Lineage: Eukaryota; Metazoa; Chordata; Mammalia; Chiroptera; Pteropodidae. The record is from RNAcentral.
GUCUAUGGCCAUGCCACCCUGAAUGUGCCCGAUCUCAUCUGAUCUCAGAAGCUAAGCAGGGUCGGGCCUGGUUAAUAUUUGAAUGGGAGACCACCUAGGACUACCAGGUGCUAUAGGCA